UACGUAGGGGGCAAGCGUUGUCCGGAUUUAUUGGGCGUAAAGAGCGUGUAGGCGGCCUGACAGGUCUGCUGUGAAAACUCGAGGCUCAACCUCGAGAUGUCGGCGGAAACCGUCUGGCUAGAGUCCGGAAGAGGAGAGUGGAAUUCCUGGUGUAGCGGUGAAAUGCGCAGAUAUCAGGAGGAACACCAAUUGCGAAGGCAGCUCGCUGGGACGUAACUGACGCUGAGACGCGAAAGCGUGGGGAGCAAACAGG
RNAcentral lists this ribosomal RNA (253 nucleotides) under uncultured bacterium. Its description in RNAcentral is "partial 16S ribosomal RNA". It matches the Rfam family "Bacterial small subunit ribosomal RNA", at positions 524 to 776 of the family's 1533-position model. The record is from RNAcentral.